GAGAUUUUCAAGCACAUCUAGGAAGUAUUUCAAAAGGUAAUUUAGGAAAAAUUUCAAAAGAUAAUCUUUAGGCCCUUCACAUGCUCCUAUCUUCCAGGUUCUGGAAGCAGCUAUCGCAAGUGCUUAAAUGUUCCUCCUGUGACUCUGUGACUGUCCAAAGUCCCUGUUUCCAGUUCAGCUUUCUUUGAAAAGCCCUUGAGCUUUAAUAUCACCAUCAUGCCUCAUUAAAACUCCUAUUCACUGGGUGCAGAAGACUGCUUAUUACUGAAAGUAAUUUGACUAAAACAUAAAUACUGCAAAAUCUGUCUACAUACGUCUCUUUGAAACAACCUGAACUCUUCUCUCAAUAUAAAAUUGAGGUGAAAUACCAAAUUAAGGCACAUGGGUCCGUUAUUGCCAAAGUGAUGGAUUUCCUGACAACCAUUCCACCCAGAAGAUUUUUUUUCCCAGAACUAAUAAUCCCAUCCCCGUUGCUGGUGAUUAACUUAAUAACGAGCAUGACAAUCAACAAACAGAUUGAAAAGGCAACCUACUCAGAAUGGGAGAAAAUAUGAAACCAUAUACCAGAGAUGAAAGUAAUAUCCAGAAUAUAUAAAGAAUUCCUACAACUUGAUAACAAAAACACCCCAAUCUAAAAAUGGACACAGAAUUUAAAUAGACAUUUCUCCAAUGAAGAUGGCCACCACACAUGUGAAAAGAUGCUCAACAUCACUAAUCAUCAAGGGAAAUGCAAAUCAAAACCACAAUAGCACAAUGAGAUAUCAUUUCAGACCCCGUAUGAUGUUAGGAUGGCUACUUUCAAAAAAACAGAAAAUAAGUGUUGGUAAGGAAACACCUGCACACUGUUGAUGGGAUUAUAAAAUGGGCAGCCACUAUGGAAAAUAGUAUGGAGGUUCCUAAAAAAACUGCAAUUAGAAUUCCCAUAUGAUCCAGUCAUCUCCUACUGCAUAUAUAUCCAAAAGAAUUGAAAGCAGGAUCUUGAAAAGAUAUCUGCUCUCCUAUGUUCAUGCAGCAUUAUUCACAACAGCCAAGAUGUAGAGGUGAUUCAAAUGUCCAUCAGUGAAUGAAUAGAUAAAGAAAUGUGGUAUAUACAUACAAUGGAAUCUUAGCCUAAAAAAGAAAGAAUUCCUGUCAUAUGCUACAGCAUGGAUGAACCUUGAGGACCUUAUGUCCGAGGAUGAACACACAAGAGAUUCACAGGAACAAACCAGACCACUGACUUGCUGCACUGAAGUUGCAAUACUUCUGAGACGUAGAUCUCCUUAUUAAUCUAGCUCAGUGUUUUGUUACCUGCAGCACAGAAACACUUUCCCUGAAAAACAGAUACAACUUUUAAAGCAUAAUUUUUAUUCUUUAGGUAUUCUGAUCUCACCCCACAGGCCUUGGAAACCUGAGGCAGUAUUCUUCUGGGAUGUUUCCAACUAGGCUUCCCAUGAGGAUGUUAGAGCCAGCCUGGCUGGUGAAUUUUACUUCUCUCACCUCUCAGAGGUAAGAGGUCUGAGAGGCUCAGGCCCUUCCAGCUUUUGAGGAUUCCAGCAUAGUAGAAACAUAAAAAGGUCCAAAGGGAAUUACAAAAAUAAUCUAUUUUCAGUUCUUAUACUUAACAAGUCAAUUCUUAUUAAAAAAAUAAAUCAAUCAAACUUUUGUUUGAUAUAAUUAUAGAUUCCAAGGAAGUUGUAAAGAUAGUACAGGAGGUCCCUGUGCAUCUUUCACCCAGUUUCCUCCAGUUUUAUGCCACUAGAGUACAAUAUCCAAACCAGGACAUUGACAUUGGAGCCAUAUGCAUGUAUAUUUCCAUGUCAUUUUAUCUCAUGUGUAUGCUCAUGUACCCAUCACUUCAAUCAGGUUAGAGACUAGACCAUCCCUCAUGCUGCCCUCUGAACUACCAACCCUAACCCGUGGAGGUCAUUAAUCUGUUCUUUAUCACUACAAUUUGGUCAUUUUGAGAAUGAAUAAAAUCACACAGUAAUGCAAGCCUUUUGAGACUAGCAUUUUUUCACUCAGCAUAACAUACUUAAGAUCCAUCAAUAAUUCUUCCAUUUUAUUGCCGAGCGGUAUUCUACAGUAUAGAUAUACUAAAGUUUAACUCUUCAUCUAAGGUAGGACAUUUUGGUUGUUUCCAGUUUUGGCUAUUACAAAUAAAGCUUCUAUGAGUAUUCACCUACA
RNAcentral lists this long non-coding RNA (2166 nucleotides) under Homo sapiens (human). RNAcentral's name for it is "PREDICTED lncRNA (TCONS_00238216)". Lineage: Eukaryota; Metazoa; Chordata; Mammalia; Primates; Hominidae. The record is from RNAcentral.